UAAUCCGACCUAGGCUCAUCUCGGAGUGUGAGGCCUUACGGUCCCCCACUUUGGUCUUUCGACAUCAUGCGGUAUUAAUCCGGGUUUCCCCGGGCUAUCCCCCGCUCUAAGGUAGAUUCCUAUGUAUUGCUCGCCCGUCCGCCGCUCGCCGGCACCCUUGCGGGCCCGCUGCCGCUCGACUUGCAUGUGUUAGGCCUGCCGCCAGCGUUCAAUCUGAGCCAGGAUCAAACUCU
Molecule: ribosomal RNA, 233 nt
Filed under: uncultured bacterium
Lineage: Bacteria
Description: partial 16S ribosomal RNA
Source: RNAcentral